ACGAACGCUGGCGGCGUGCUUAACACAUGCAAGUCGAACGAUGAAGCCUUAGCUUGCUUUGGUGGAUUAGUGGCGAACGGGUGAGUAACACGUGAGCAACGUGCCCAGGACUCUGGAAUAACCGCGGGAAACCGUGGCUAAUACCGGAUAGGUGCCGAGGCCGCAUGGUCUUCGGUUGGAAAGUUUUUGCGGUUCUGGAUCGGCUCACGGCCUAUCAGCUUGUUGGUGGGGUAAUGGCCUACCAAGGCGACGACGGGUAGCCGGCCUGAGAGGGUGACCGGCCACACUGGGACUGAGACACGGCCCAGACUCCUACGGGAGGCAGCAGUGGGGAAUAUUGCACAAUGGGCGCAAGCCUGAUGCAGCAACGCCGCGUGGGGGAUGACGGCCUUCGGGUUGUAAACCUCUUUUAGUAGGGAAGAAGCGCAAGUGACGGUACCUGCAGAAAAAGCACCGGCUAACUACGUG
RNAcentral lists this ribosomal RNA (468 nucleotides) under uncultured bacterium. Its description in RNAcentral is "partial 16S ribosomal RNA". It matches the Rfam family "Bacterial small subunit ribosomal RNA", at positions 29 to 507 of the family's 1533-position model. The record is from RNAcentral.